AUAAAAAAAAAAGAUAUCUUUUUAUUUAAAUUAUAAAAUAUAAAGUACAGUAAUGGAAAAAUAUAUAAAUAAAGUAUUUAUUAGUACCUUUAGUAUAAUAGAUUUACAAGUUUUAAAAUAAUUUAUAUUUUCGAAAUCUAAAUGAGUUGUUUAUUUAUUGUUAAGAACUAAUAUUUAAGAGUUUAAAUUCUUUAUAUAAAUAAAUUUACAGAAGCUAUAAACUAAUCGCAUUAGAUUCUAACUAAUUUUUAUUAUGUUAUUUAUAUAAUUUUAUAUUAUAUAAUUAGAAAAUAAAUUUAUUAAUUAAAUAAAUUAUUUUAAUUAUUUUAAUUUAUAGGCUUAGCUAUAAAUUAAAUUCUAUUAUAUAUGCAAAGUUAAUAGUAGGCUUAAAAACAGCCAACUAAUAUUACUUUAUUGUAUAAAAAAAAUAAAAAAAAAUAAAUAUUAAUGACUAAAAAAAUUAUUUAUUUAUAUUAUAUUAAUGUUAUUAUGUAAAUAUGAGUAAUAUACAAAUUUAUAUAAAGGAACUCGGCAAAUAUAAAAUUCGACUGUUUAACAAAAACAUUGCUAUAUGAUUAUAAAAUAUAUAGUAAGCCCUGCUCAAUGAAACAUUAAAUUGCUGCAGUAUUAUAACUGUACUAAGGUAGCAUAAUAAUUUGUUUAUUAAUUGUAAGCUAGAAUGAAAGGGUACACGAAAUUUUAACUGUCUUUAUAUUUGAUAUUAAAAUUAUCCUUUAGGUGAAGAGACCUAAAUAAAGUUAUAGGACAAGAAGACCCUAAAAGCUUUAUUAACUAAUAAUUUUAUUAUGACUUUAAUUUGAUUGGGGCGAUCAUUUAUAGUUAGACAUUUUAAUUAUAUACGACUGAUGAGUCUAAAAAGAUCCUUUUUUGAUCAUUAAUUAAGUUACUUUAGGGGUAACAGGCUAAUAUAAAAUUAAAGACCAUAUUAAAUUUUAUGAUUGGCACCUCGAUGUUGACUUAGAAUUACUAUUUAGUGCAACAAAUAAAUAAGUAGGUUUGUUCAACCUUUAAUGUUCUACAUGAGUUGAGUUCAGACCGGCGUAAGCCAGGUUAGAUUCUAUCCAUAAUUUAUUAAAUUAAUAUUAGUAGUACGAGAGGACCUUAAUAUUACUAUUAUAGUUAUUAAUUAAUUAACAUU
Molecule: ribosomal RNA, 1159 nt
Filed under: Haemadipsa tianmushana
Lineage: Eukaryota; Metazoa; Annelida; Clitellata; Hirudinida; Haemadipsidae
Description: 16S ribosomal RNA
Rfam family: Eukaryotic large subunit ribosomal RNA (bases 505-1159)
Source: RNAcentral